This is a long non-coding RNA of Papaver somniferum (opium poppy), 1082 nucleotides long. RefSeq lists it as uncharacterized. The transcript has 2 exons. The record is from RefSeq and is a predicted model, not a curated record. NCBI's taxonomy places the organism in Eukaryota, Viridiplantae, Streptophyta, Magnoliopsida, Ranunculales, Papaveraceae.
UCCCUAUUUUCCCUAGAUCCAAUCCCAAACACAAAUAUCAGAUUUUUUAAAACCCUCUUGAGAUUGGGAACAGUGCCACCACACAAUUGAUUAGAUUUGGGAAUUAAUUCCCAAAAUACGCAAAUCAUCAUUUUUUAAGAUCGGUAAAUCAGUUUCGAGACCCGUAAAUCAACGAAUUCCCAAAAAUUGAUUAGUAUUCUGAAAUCUAUCACUACUGAUUGGAAAGCAAUUUUGGUUCAAACUUGAGUGUAUAUUUUCAUAUUCUUCACAACACUGUCUUUCAUCCUCCGAUGACAUGUCAAGAGAUUUAGAGGCGAUUUUUCCUCUCCUUCGUUUCUCCAUGGCUAGAAGAAAUGAAUCUUAAAUUCCUUCAUCUUACUCUAAUCCGUUUGCAGAAUCUUUUAAUAUUGCUAGUUUAUCAGAGGCAAACAUUGGGUUUGGGGAUUUUCCACCUUUGGAGGUUUUUAGAGACCCUAAACCUAAUUCAACUUCAGAUCCAAAAUCAAUUUCAAUUUUGAAUCAAUCUCAGUCAGUUUUAAGCUAUGCUGGUUGUCUUGGUAGCAACAAUCUUCAAGCAAUCUCAUCAACCAAGCUUUCUUUUGAUGAAGCUAAGGAAAUUUAUGGAGUUUCUAUGCUGUUUCCAAUUCAGGAAUCAUAUUUGAGAGAGAGGAAGAAAGAAGAUGGUAGUUGAUGAAGAUGAUAAUAAUCCAUAAAAAGGAAGAAGGAAGACGGUAGUUGAUGAAGAUGAUAAUACUUAUGAAACAAAGCUACUCUACGGCAUGUUAAAGCAAACAUAUGGAUUAACAAACAUUCCAAACAUCCAGCACACCUAUUGAGAAGGAAACCAAGCAACAGACGGCUUAGCAAACUACGCUGCGGAUGGAAGCCAAACAGGAAAUUACUCCACCACAAUUUGAGAUAGAGCAAUCCCACCUUGCAUCAAUCAAAUUCUCUUAAAUGAUUUUAGAGGCAUCAAAUAUCCCCGUGUAAUUUCUCUUUAGUUGCUUUUUUAUGUCGUUCAUACUUCAAGAAAAAAAAAAAGUCCAAAAUCAAAUUUAUAAAUUAAUAAAGCUAUUCAACGG